AUGGAGAGAAGCGUCGCCCACAUCAUGUUGGUGCUUUCACUCGGGGCGGCCCUCGUCGUCGCCGGCCGCCCCGCCGGUGCCUCCGACGAGGUGGCCGCCAUUCGCCUCUCGAGCGACGGCCAAGGUCUUGGCGCUGAUGCAACAGCACUUGGGGCGCCCAUGAAGAAGGUCCUGGAGGAGGAUGAGAGGCCGUGGGCAUGCUGCGACGACACCCACUGCCUGAGGGUGCUCCCGAGGGCCUGCCUCUGUCGCGACACGGUGGCGCAGUGCGCCAGCGCGUCCCAGCACUGCGACGAGGUCAGCCCUGGCCGCUACGUUUGCCUGGAUAUACACGAAGGCUGGCCCGGCCCAAAGUGCACGCACCAAGUGGACGUCGCCGGCGCCGGUAACUAG
Molecule: ribosomal RNA, 393 nt
Filed under: Triticum aestivum (bread wheat)
Lineage: Eukaryota; Viridiplantae; Streptophyta; Magnoliopsida; Poales; Poaceae
Description: partial small subunit ribosomal RNA
Source: RNAcentral